This 87-nucleotide transfer RNA is filed under the name Planctomycetota bacterium. Its description in RNAcentral is "Planctomycetes bacterium (activated sludge metagenome) tRNA-Ser". It matches the Rfam family "tRNA". Rfam says of the family: Transfer RNA (tRNA) molecules are approximately 80 nucleotides in length. Their secondary structure includes four short double-helical elements and three loops (D, anti-codon, and T loops). The record is from RNAcentral. Lineage: Bacteria; Pseudomonadati; Planctomycetota.
GGAGAGGUGCCGGAGCGGCUGAACGGGCUGGUUUCGAAAACCAGUGUGGCGGCAACGUCACCGGGGGUUCGAAUCCCCCCCUCUCCG